GGAAAAGGCAAAAUCCGUCGAGAAAUUUCCCGAAGCCGCGACGGAUUAAGUACGUCGCGGCUGAGGUAAAGGACGAGAUACUAGAAUGAAUUAAUUGCAAUUUUAUUGGGUCUGUACGGAAAAAAUUUUGGACCCCUAAAAUGGUACAAUGUCCGAAAAUUUUUUGGCGCCGGGGGGGGGAGGUCGCCAAAAAUAAAUUGUUCGGAGAAAAAUUUUUGGAGCCUAUUUUUAGUGGAGCAAAGGGGCCCAAAGUGGCCGAUUGACGGAGGGCCCCCAGCGGUUGCGUUACGCCACUGACACUAUUGCACUAUUAAUUAAGAUGGUUGUGUGGGUGGUGAUCAUCUGUGAUCACACUUACUCCUCUGUUUACACUUUUAAAUUGCCCACACGCUUGCCACUAGAGUUUGCAAUGGCUGGCAUACGCAUAUUUUUUAAACUUACUGGAUAAUUGCUGGAAAAAAGAAGAUUAAGUUGUCUAGUUAAAACUUUCAUUAUUUUCGAUAUUUAAAAAAGAAUAUUGAUGUUUCUGAAAUAUCAACAUUUACCAA
This is a non-coding RNA of Paramuricea clavata, 548 nucleotides long. The record is from the annotation of a GenBank genome assembly. NCBI's taxonomy places the organism in Eukaryota, Metazoa, Cnidaria, Anthozoa, Malacalcyonacea, Plexauridae.